Long non-coding RNA from Gallus gallus (chicken), 6842 nucleotides. RefSeq lists it as uncharacterized. Lineage: Eukaryota; Metazoa; Chordata; Aves; Galliformes; Phasianidae. The record is from RefSeq and is a predicted model, not a curated record. The transcript is spliced from 5 exons.
GGGGCGGGCGGUGCUGCGGGCGCUCUGCGGCUCCGGCAGAGUGACGCCCGCUCAAAGACGGUCAGAUUGGUGCUGGUUUAUUAAAAUCCUGCACGGUUGCAUUUUUCACUGAGAGAAAUAAAACACAAGGGUGCAGGCCAGGACGUCAGUGCGACCUAUUCCUGUCACGUCCCAGCAGCAUGUGCUGCAGGAACAUGCUGUGACAAAUAGAUUUUCCAAAUGAGUUACAAAGCAAUUUCCAAAAGUACCUUCGAAAUGACAGUUUAGUAAAAAUAUUCCCUUUUUCAUCAAGUUUAGAGGGCAGAUCCCCACACUGAAAUACAAAAGCUUGCGCCGUGAGCAAGGAGCGAUGUAAGUGGAAUAUGCUCUUCUUGUAGGGUGCAGAAGUGUACAUAAAGAAGAAAAUCCCCUUCUCCACAUCCCCAAAUGCCUCAGGUUGUGGUGUGUGAUGGCCAAGGGAGGCACAGAGACCUGAGGGCAUGAGGCACUGAGAGGGCAACCUCAGUGCGCUUUGCAGAGACCUCUCACGCUCAUUGCGCUGCACAGCUCGGCCUGUUUCGCAUCUCAGCCAGUUGAUGCUGCCCCUUGGCUAACGUAAAUAGCAUUAAAUACACAAAAUAAGACACCUGAGAAAACUGCAGGGAUGUGGAUGGGAGCACUGGGGGAAGGCUGGGUUCCUCCUAUCUGACAGGACACCGCAGCCGGGGCUGUUGCCCUGCAUCCUUUCCUGACGCUGCCUGGGGCACUCCUUUCCCUCCUGGCACUUCCACUCUCAGGAACAGAUUUGCAUUUCCUAAUGGGCUGGCUUGCCUGUGGCAGACAAUUCUUGUUUGUAAGUAAUGUCAUACUGGAUUUGUGAUACAAGCUUUUGCAAUCCCUUUGUUGUGCAAAUGCAGGCAAAUAACUGAAGUAAGCCAAUUGGCUUCAGCAGGAUUACCCAUAAAAGACUGAAGUGCUAUGUCACAUGCAUAAAUAUCACUCUCAGGAGCAGAUUCUGCAAUCGAGGACAACUUUAAUUUUUAAGGAAGAAGAGCAGCAGCAGCACAAGUCACUAAAUAAGCAAAGGACAAAGCCAGUUUCCCGUUCAGUUCAAAUGUGAGAGGUUUAGCAGCAGUAUUAGCAUUAUAGCACACUCGUAUUUACAUCUCAGAGUAUCAUUCCUAACCUAGAGGAGGAUUGUGCCACAUAUUGCAGGUAGGAGAACAGCUGCAGGAGGAAGGGAUUUAGAGUAACCAAGCAUGCAUUCUAUGGGAAAGCAAAAAUAGCACUUCUGGAUUCCAGCUUCUAACCAGCGUCUCUCAGGAGGAAGGCAGCGAUGUCAGCAGGGUCUCUGGCCAGCUUGUAAAAUUAAUUUCAAAAUCUCUUAAGUACAUUCUGAAAAGGAACAUUCAGGAGAGAAGAUAAACUGCAUGCUAUGAUUGGUAUUGCAGACAGCAUUUUUAGCAAUCAAAGGGAGCAUAGAAGCAGUUCUAGAACUUCCAGUGUUUUCUUCCCCAGUGUCACUCACUGCAUGAAUUCCUGUUACCAUGUGGAAGUGGAUUCAGCAAUUUGCAAGGAAUUCUUACCUGUUGUAUGGUUUUGCUGAUAGGUGAAAAGCCACAAUUAGACAAGUAGCAGGCAUUUUGUGAGCAUUCAUUGCUUUAGGCAAUGCCAUGUUGCUCAAACUUUUUAUAAUGUAGAUGGGAUCUUGCAUUUGGAGUCCCCUUGCAUUUGGAGUUUACUAUUGGUUUUGGGUAGGAACGUGGUACCUGCCUUCAGCGGGUAAGAAAUGAAGAAAGUUGCUAAUUACAGCACAAGACUGUAGAUGUGCAGUCGUUUCCAAAGGGAUGGGAUCUCCGACACUUUUGAUGUCUUGGAUGGCUGUGAUGAUGUAAGUAGAACACUCACGUGGUGGGGAUGAAAGAGAAAUGCUGUGUUUGUUCUUCAGAGGGAGACCCUUUCCUACCUGAAAUAUAUUCAAUAAACUGAACAAAGCAGUGAGCCUUUCCCACAGUCUGAAACAUUAAACGUCAGCAGUUUCCUUUUUGUUAUGUCUCAAAGUUCCCAGUAGAUGCCAUAGGGAAACAAUGGGAACGAUGUUCGUCCAGUUAAGUUGCAUGCACUCCAAUGCCAUUCAACAAAAAGAUACUCAAUGCCCAGAGAAAAAAUAAUAAUAUGAUCUGAUGAAUUGAUCUUUGUGCACAGAAAAAAAAAAAAAACAAUUGUUUUGCAGAAAUUAUAUGAAAGCUGGAAAAUGAUGACCUGUUUGAAAGGAAGACAGGAGGAAGGGGAGGGAGUUGCUCUGUGAGCCUCACAUUCUAUACCAGAUGAAGGUGGUAGAAUUUUUAUUGAUCUGGAAAGUUUGCUUAAGUGAGUUACUGGGGAAAAAAGAUAGCAACAUGACCUAUGUCUUGAGAUCAGGAAUAAGAGCUCGAAUCCUGAAUUACAGGGAGAGUACAUUUGUGUCAACUCAUUCUGUGUGUAAGCUAAGCAGUAAGUUACCCAAACAUGAAUCAUAUCCUUUUUUUUUUUUCACUGCCUGUCAUUUGAGAGGCAGAGAGUUAGCUGCUGUGAGUGAGGGGAAACCAGCAGGUGAGCCGACAGCAGCAUUCCUAAGCGCUGAGAGGAUGCCUGUGGGUCCACAGCUUACAAGGGUGGGAGGUGUGGGAGCCUGUCAAGUGUUUGGGCAGAGUUUGCAGUGUUAACCCUUGGAAUCUGAGGAUUAAGGGGAUGAUGCUCUUCAUUCUGAACAUUUGGAAGAAGUCCAGUGACUCAAGGUGUGAAGGAAUGACAAGAGCCAAGACAAGCAGCUUGUGCUGUCUAAGAAUAUCCUGUCAUGGUGUAUCCUCAAAUCUGACAGCUUUUCUCUUAAGCAUGAACUACUCUUUGAUGCCAUGAAGUCUAUCCUAGUUUUCAUGAAACACCCCUGUAGGUGGCCAAUGAUACAGCUCAUUGCCAGUAAGUCAACAGUGUGCAAGCUUCAUCAGCUAAAUAUCCAAGGAUGUUGUAAUCAAGGCAACAAAAUCCUGUGCGAUAUUCUAAAAGUGGACACAUUUUUGUGGGCUGUACUCUGUACCGGGUUUUAUCACACAAACCCAGAUGUGUAUUUUUGGCAGAGUUUUAAUCUCCUCUAGGAGAGCCUGCAUAUCUAUUGAUUUUCUCAUUUUCUUAUAAUCCUGUAUUUGCCAGCAGAGCUAGAAACGUAACAGGAGAGCACUUUCAGUGGGGAAAGUUUGGCAAACCCGGAGUAAUCUCAUUGAGAUGAGUGACGGUUUUAGACCUUCUUUUCAUAAUAUGGGGUUUAAAAAUCUAUCUUCUCCUCACAGUGGAGUUGCAGGGCCUUUGGCCCUGAAACCUCUAUGGCAUAAAUGUAAAUCCGCUAAGGAAUGUGCAGUUCUAUCUGGUAAUUUUUGUUGUUGACAGUGUAUUGUAGUAUUACGGUAUUACAAUAUUACAGUUAACAGUCCUUAAAAAGAACGAUAUCUUUUCUGAUUAAUGCUCCUCUGCAAAUGCUUUUCUUAUCUUUUGACUGAUGGCUUCCAUCCUGGAGUCUCCAAAUGCCUUAUAUGAGUGCUUUAAGUAAUGUGUUACAUGCAUUUUAGCUUUACCCAUGUUCUUUUUGAGACUCGUGUGCAGUACCAGGGUGUUUCUCUGCUUCAUUUUUCAGCGCACACACUUCUUGGGGAUUCUUGGAAGUUCUUUAUUUUGAGGGCAGUGAGGCCCUGGCAUAGCUGCCCAGAGCAGUUGUGGGUGCCCCAUCCCUUGAAGUGCUAUAGGCCACGUUGGAGCAGAGUGAUCUAGUGGGAGGUAUUUCUGCCUAUGGCAGGGUUGGAACUUGGUGAGCUUUAAGGCCCCUUCCAACCCAACUCAUUCUGUGAUUCUUGCUUCUUUAUGCAAUUCCUUGUCCCUUUUCAACAAGGGAUGCUAAAGUGGAGAUGGUUAGCAUAUCUGAAAUGCUAGUGAUGUAUGAGUCAAACCCUGAUGAUAAAGAUCUAACAAAUGACCUAAAGUGUCCCUCCACUUUUAAAUUUUCCCCUGCAUUCAAUUUCCUUACUAACAAUUAGUAGAGGAAAUAAUGACAUGAUCACAGUUUACUCUGACUGCCCAGACCAAAAUAGCUGUUUCUGCAAAGCUAAUUAGGAAUGACACACUUAAAAACAUUGUAUUUAAAUUGUCAAUUUAAGUUUUAGAGUUGAUGUAUAGUGGAAACCCAUUUCCCUGAGAUGUGAGAGAGAUGGCAUUGAUUCCCUUCCCUAAUUCAGUAGAUGGGUCUGAAUUUUCCAAAUUCAGCAAAAAAAAAAAAAAAAAAAAAAAAAAAGGCUGAAGAGUCACUCCUGGACUACAGAGCCAACUCUACAUUAACAGCUCAAAACUGCAGAUUCACAUGGAUGUAUAGCACGUUAGUCAUAAGGCUGAGUUACCCUUGGAUAAGGUGCUAACACUGUCGGUGCCCUCUGCAGGUUCAUGGCUCUGACAGCACAGGCUUGAUCUGCAGUGGCUGAGCUUGACUCCACUGAUAGCAUCACCUGCUGUGAAGGUUUGUAGAAUGAAAGCUGUAACUCCAGGUGAGAGAUUGGUUUGGAUUGUAAGUGUUGCACUGCCUUACCAUCAGCCCAGCAGUGCAAUGGCAUGAUGUCCUGGAACUGAUGUAAACGGAACUAUAGACCAAGAGCUGCAGAAUCAGAACAGGCUAUCUUUAAUACUGAAAACGAGAAAGCAUUUUAAAGUACACAGGGCAGACUUGCUAAACUAUUCUUGUGUAGAUUAUGCAGCAUACAGAGCAUAAGGGGUCAAUUCUUGAAGGCAUUCUAAUCUCCUGUACUAGAUGUAAUAUUCCCUGGCUCUUGCAUAUGCGUGUAGCUCCCAUCAGGGAAAAUGGUAAUGAAUUUGCAUACUAAGGAGAAAAUAAAUCCUGAUUCCCCUUCAGUAAUGUAUAAUGUCAACAAAAGUCUUUGAUGAAUGCAGACUCUUCUUAAUUAGAUGCUUGGGUAGGAGAUUAUUAAUCCAUUUAUCUCCAAUUCUAAUUGUACCAUGAAUUGCUUGCUGGUUUACGCCUAACUUUAUGACCAUAUUUAUCUUCCUAGAACCCAUACAGAGUCGUACUCAUAAAUGAACAUUUCUUGAAAGUUGAAUUGUUGUAUUCUUAUUUUAAUUCCCUUCCUCAACGUACAUAUAUGUGAAUAUUCUGAAAUCCUCACUCUAUUAGCCAAGAGUAUAUCCUGCAACAUAACAAUUCCACAAUGCAGCUAUACGCCAUUCCCACAGUAGUGACAUCUGACCUUUAAAAAACAUGGAUUUCUGCACCAGUGACAGCCAGAGGAAGCUGACUGUCAUGGCAAAGGCUGGUCUUCAUGGAGAUAUGCUAAUAAUGGAGCAGGCAUGGCUUGGGGGCUUGCCAGAUUUCAACUGCACAUUAAAACUAAAAGCUUAGGUUGUGAUACUAAUGUAUAAAUACUACUGAUCCCACCGACCUAAAAAUCAUCCCUAGGAGAUUCAGAGCAAGCCAGUCAAUUUGCUAAAAGUUCGUGUAGUUGCCUGCAUGACAUACGUUUGCCUGGAUACAGCUGAGGAUUCAGUUGAAAAUAUCCUCAGGCAGAUGCUUGCUUCCUUUGAACACUCUGAGUUGGCCUAGUUGGCAGCUCAUGGUGUAUACUGCAACAGCUCCAUCUGCCGAAACAACUCAUAAAUCACUGGGACUUCAGAAACUAACAGCCAAUGAUAUUCCUCCUAUCAGCUGUGCUAUUAGUGGCCCUCCAGGUUUUGGUGUUUAGGGCAGGCUAGGUAAGAACAGACUAAGUGGACCAUACUGCAGUUCUUUUGUGUGUAUGCACUGACAUAAGAGAAGGAGAGAGACCAACAGACACAGCUGACAUUCAGGAAAGUGAAAUAAAUUAUAGUGAAUGGAAUCACUUGAUUGAACUGACCCUGUUUUAGAUAGGCUGCCAUACAGGACUUCCUGUGUGCAGGUAAAGAUGGAUGUAAUAACACCAUCCAAACUGUGCAGUGAUAUCUGAGAAUGGAGAAGCUUACUUGAGAGUUGUUGUUUGUGGGCUUUUUUCUCCUCUAUCCUAUACUUUUAACUAUCUAUACUAACUACCAUUAAAAAAAAGAAAAGAAAAAAACACUUAAAAAAAAAAAACCAACAACUGACACAGUUCCUGUUUAAAUACCAUGGCAGAUGAUAGCAUUUCUGGCACCUGUGGGCUCCUAGGUUGCAAGGUGAUUGCUUAUCAAUGGCCUUAAUGAUGCCCCAGCUGACUUCUCCCAUUUAUGGGCUGAUUCUCCUAUCUGGUGCAGAGUGUGUUUCUUGUUAAGAUCCCUGCCUCUCACUGGUGAAAGAAUUCAGGCUAAGGGGAGGCUGACUCUGCUUCUAUCCUUUCGCUUCUAGGAGCACCUUUCGUGGCAGACAGCACCUGCUGCCCAUGUUGAUGUGUCUCACCGCUCUGCUGCCACACGAAUUGAAACCACAGGAAGGGGAGCCCCAGGUCAACAGAGUUGCUGGAAGACAAGGUCAUUAGCCCCAGCAUCCUCCUGCGGGCAUGCAUGGCAGCAAGAAUUGAAAGGAUGAUGUAUUGCACUCUAAGGGAAGGAGGAUUGUGGUCCUGGUGCCUACAGACAUACCUCACAGUGACAGAGCAAGCAGCAGAACAUUCCAGCCAUCUUUCCAGAGAGAGUGAAGGAGGACAGUCAGAACAGAGCACCUACCCACUGAACCUGAAAGCAUGACAGAUCUCACUCUCCUGCCUGCCAAAACUGCUUCUUGAUGGCUGCUACCGUAACACGCCGCCGUGGAUCAGCCUGGCCCUGGGUGCCCCUCUGACACUGCUGCUGUACUUCCAUGGCUCAUACAUCAUCUACUGCUC